Molecule: ribosomal RNA, 438 nt
Filed under: uncultured bacterium
Lineage: Bacteria
Description: bacterial SSU rRNA
Rfam family: Bacterial small subunit ribosomal RNA
Source: RNAcentral
CCUACGGGGGGCAGCAGUGGGGAAUAUUGCACAAUGGGGGAAACCCUGAUGCAGCGACGCCGCGUGAGCGAAGAAGUAUUUCGGUAUGUAAAGCUCUAUCAGCAGGGAAGAAAAUGACGGUACCUGAGUAAGAAGCUCCGGCUAAAUACGUGCCAGCAGCCGCGGUAAUACGUAUGGAGCAAGCGUUAUCCGGAUUUACUGGGUGUAAAGGGAGCGCAGGCGGCCUUGCAAGUCUGAUGUGAAAUACCGGGGCUCAACCCCGGAGCUGCAUUGGAAACUGUGAGGCUGGAGUGUCGGAGAGGCAGGCGGAAUUCCUAGUGUAGCGGUGAAAUGCGUAGAUAUUAGGAGGAACACCAGUGGCGAAGGCGGCCUGCUGGACGAUGACUGACGCUGAGGCUCGAAAGCGUGGGGAGCAAACAGGAUUAGAUACCCCAGUAG